UGGGGAAUAUUGGACAAUGGGCGAAAGCCUGAUCCAGCCAUGCCGCGUGUGUGAAGAAGGUCUUCGGAUUGUAAAGCACUUUAAGUUGGGAGGAAGGGCAGUAAAUUAAUACUUUGCUGUUUUGACGUUACCGACAGGAUAAGCACCGGCUAACUCUGUGCCAGCAGCCGCGGUAAUACAGAGGGUGCAAGCGUUAAUCGGAAUUACUGGGCGUAAAGCGCGCGUAGGUGGUUCGUUAAGUUGGAUGUGAAAUCCCCGGGCUCAACCUGGGAACUGCAUUCAAAACUGACGAGCUAGAGUAUGGUAGAGGGUGGUGGAAUUUCCUGUGUAGCGGUGAAAUGCGUAGAUAUAGGAAGGAACACCAGUGGCGAAGGCGACCACCUGGACUGAUACUGACACUGAGGUGCGAAAGCGUGGGGAGCAAAACAGGAUUAGAUACCCUGGUAGUCCACGCCGUAAACGAUGUCAACUAGCCGUUGGGAGCCUUGAGCUCUUAGUGGCGCAGCUAACGCAUUAAGUUGACCGCCUGGGGAGUACGGCCGCAAGGUUAAA
Molecule: ribosomal RNA, 552 nt
Filed under: uncultured bacterium
Lineage: Bacteria
Description: partial 16S ribosomal RNA
Rfam family: Bacterial small subunit ribosomal RNA
Source: RNAcentral